This is a long non-coding RNA of Coturnix japonica (Japanese quail), 486 nucleotides long. NCBI's taxonomy places the organism in Eukaryota, Metazoa, Chordata, Aves, Galliformes, Phasianidae. The record is from Ensembl.
GAAAACCAGAUUUGUUCAUAAAAUGAACAAGCUCAGCUUUAUGCUAUCUCUUUAGUUUGUGUGGAUCAACAUAACACUAAAGUCAGUUGAACUACAUUGAUGUACUUCAGCUGAGGAGCUACCCAUUCACAGAAAACUGUAUCUUUCUGUUACUAUGGGAAAAUCGAUAUGGGUGAGCUAAAAUCAGAUCUAUCUGGAAGUCAAAGAAAAUGCAAGUUUAAACUAUGAAACCCCAAAGCCGUGUACCCUUUUUGAAGCUGCUUUUGAUUUUUUAAGGAUUCUAGACUGAAGUCAUCUUGACAAAAUAACAUCAGAAAGGAUUCUUUGGAGACUUCCAUUCUGACCAAAAGGACAAAAAGACAGGACUUCCAAAAACAUCACAGGAAAGCCUCAGCUCCAUUUUAGCUCGAAGGAGGAUUCAGGCACAGUGAGAACAGAAGGACAGAAGGUGGUUUGCAGUUUCUGGCUAUCUGGAAAGCUGGCAUG